Long non-coding RNA from Mustela erminea (ermine), 2124 nucleotides. RefSeq lists it as uncharacterized. The record is from RefSeq and is a predicted model, not a curated record. The transcript has 6 exons. NCBI's taxonomy places the organism in Eukaryota, Metazoa, Chordata, Mammalia, Carnivora, Mustelidae.
ACUUUCUUCUUCUGCUUUUCCCCACUCUACUUUUCUCUCCGACUCCCCCAUCCCCAACCUCUCUCCUACAGGCACAGGUCAACCUCCAAGAAAGGCGAAAGAAAGCCAGGCACAAGGCCCCAGCGCUGCUGGGGCGCUGUACUGGCUCUGAGAAGUCUGCGCUUGGGGCAGCUGCAACAAUGAAGGACCAAGGUCUCCUGCCUGGUCCGAGAGCAGUGGCAGGAGCUGCCCAGCAAAGGCAAAGACGAGGUCUGUGAGGGGCCCAAAGCCGGCGUUGUGCAUCUGGGUCCGGUUCAGAGUCAGCCCAUCGGAGAAGGUCAUGGUGUCCUGCUCCGGGGUGUACCUUGUGCAGAUCCGUAGCAUCUGGAGGCUGUGGAAGGAGACAGGCCUCCGGGCUUAACUCACCAGGAUGUCCAGGCAGGCGGCCUUGAGCAGAGUGAUCUGGUCAGCAAUGCUAAGCCCGGUAAAGCCAGGCAGCCGCUUGGCAAACUCCACGAUCUUGAUGAUACACUUGGUGGCCAGCUCACUGAACUUGUCCCAGAGCCCCAGAUCCAGCUGCACCCGGUGGUCUGCACUGGAGUUCUACAGCGAAGGCAGGCCCCUGGAGAACCCCAAGAGGUGGAGCAAGAUUUCCCUUCUCAAUGUGGAUGUCUCCAAGGUGCUAGGGACCCAGCAGUAGGAUCCAGGAUGCAGCCUCAGAGAGAAGUUCCAGACUCCUUCAUGCACCACCCUCCCUCCCAUAGACUAAGAGAGAGAGAGGGCGAAGAGAGAGACACAGACUCAAGACGUGCCACCAGAAGGCCUCAGCAACCAGACACACCAUCGUCAACAGCUCUAUUAAAUGUGGCCUCCUCACACUGACUCUGUUGUGUGCACUGGAAUCUAUGUAUGAGCAGAGAGUCUCGAGGACAGGCUGUGCCUAGACAACUGUAUACGGUCUACACACACGUGUGCACUCACACUCACAAACACACACAUUCACACACCUUCUCCAGAUGAGCACACUCUUUCCACUAGAGCUGCCAGCCCAUCUAGUCACCCCUUCACACAAACACACAACCCUCCAUGUGCACCCCUCCUGAAGGCAGGGCCCUUUCUCUCCCACCUCUCUCUCCCUGACCUUGCGGGACUAUAAAGGAUGUCUUUAUCUUUCUGUCUUUUUUUUUUUUUCCUUCUCCGUCUCUGGGCCUCCGCUUUUCUGCCCUUCUCUGUGCCUCUUCUUCCAUCACUGCCCCUUCUUUCCAGGUGAGGGUUCUCUACACCUGCUCACAUGUGGCCCCUUUACCCCCCAGCAGAACGCAGCCACCCAGCCCUCCAGCCCCUGGGCACCCACGCCUGUCAUGGCUUGGUCAAGAAGACCCACUACGAAGUGGGAGGCAAGAGGAUCCAGAAGGAAGAGGAGAGGCCUGACGCUUGUCUGCUGUCAGCACUCAGGCUUAUCCCAAAGAGGGCAGGCCUGAGGGACAAGUAGGGAUCUGCAUAGCAUGUGGGCACCAAGCCAGAGCUAGAGGGAGGGGAGGAGUCCAGAACCCACAUGGCUGGAGGAAAGGAUGCUUCUGGAACACCCCCUUACCUCCCCGGAUACUUAUGGUAUAAGGGCCACCUUCUCUGCAGCUGUUUCCACCAUCCCCACCACCAAGAGGAGAGUUCCCUGACCCCACUCAUCUUUGGGCACCUGGCACUAUUUCAUUUCCUUUCUGUGCUGUCUGCCUCUAAGCUGCCUCACCAGCUUCACCCCUUGAUCACAUUCAGCUGAUUGGCCUUCCAGACUCCUCCACCCCCAAGCUGUUCCCCCACUGUACCCACCACAGCAUACAGGCAGGAGCCUCACACUUCCCCAGACACACCUCUGGCUGCCCAUAAAAAAUAUUCUCCACCACCAGUUGACUCAGGAGGCAACAUUCUAGGCUUUGGGGGCAGGAGAACUCUCAUUUGCAAACAAUGUCAUUUGUUCCACAUGCAAACCCCCUCCCACAACCCCUGUCCCCUACUCCUUUAGAUCAAACCCCCAACCCUGCCCGCCUUGCUAACUAGGGUGCCAAUGUUUUCUAGCUCCCACCUCUAAAUGUCCUCCAGUUUCCCCCUGCCCUCCUCAUCCCCCAAGGUCCCUGAGACUCACACAGA